GUGAGCAAUGCCAUGCUUUGUGGAGCUGCCACAUACAGUGCUUCUCUCACUGACCACCAAUGAAAGAGGUGCCCCUUCCAGAAGUGUGGUGGGGGCUGGAUAAAUGGACUCAGGGGGCUGCAUGUAGCCCAUGAGCUGUAGUUUGGGGACCCCUGCCCUAGAGGUCCCUUGGUCCUCCUCUCCUUCAUCUACUGAAAACAGGAAGAGAUGUAGUUAACUUCAUCAGUUUAAGGAAGAGACAACUUCCAAGUAUCUUUGAACAGUGUAAGGCCCUCCAUAGCUGCAGAAUCCCCUCUUCCUGAGAUAACAGAACUCAUUGUUACAGUGGAGAAAUUACCAGCUUCUUUAUGAUCUCCCGGAAUCAGCACAGGCAAUAAUAAGAACAUAUGCAUUUUUAAAAUUUAAUUUAAAAAAUUACUUUCAGUUCCAAAUUCUCUCCAUGGAUCCCUCCAUCCCCUCUCCCACUCAUUGAUGUGGCAAAAAUAUAAUGCUAACUCUACAAAUAAAGUCAGAGAAUAUAGAA
Molecule: long non-coding RNA, 523 nt
Organism: Monodelphis domestica (gray short-tailed opossum)
Lineage: Eukaryota; Metazoa; Chordata; Mammalia; Didelphimorphia; Didelphidae
Source: RefSeq, a predicted model, not a curated record